UAUUUUCAGUUCAUGCAACCUUUUCUCCUUUUCUCUUCUUUGUUCUUCUUCAAUUCUUCUGGGUCCUUUUUCUUGGCCGAUUUGCCAUUCCCUUUCUUGUCUCCUUUGCUCCUUUUUCUUCUCCUUCGAUCACAAUAUAAUCAAUAUGUUGGUUUUUCCUUUUGCUGAGAUUUUUAAGCAUAUUACACCUUAUAAUCAUUCUAUUUCUUUUCCGACUGAAACAUCAAUUAAGCACCAUUGAGAAGCAUGUGCUUCUAUAAAGAUUCGAGUUCUUUAUACCCUUACUGCUGUGAGUCUGUGGAUUGCUCUUUAUCCUAUUGUGUUUGUACUUCUACCGUUGUUGUAUUCCCUUUUCUUGUUGUUGUGUGUUCGCUCUUAUUAUGUGUUCAUCUAUUCUUGUAUUUUAAUUUUCAAUUGUUAAUCGUUUUCUUUCAUUUUUAUUUUGUAAUUGCAUGUUGAAAUAUGAGUUACAUUGUUG
RNAcentral lists this long non-coding RNA (478 nucleotides) under Manihot esculenta (cassava). RNAcentral describes it as "long non-coding RNA (MESC_LNC007228)". The record is from RNAcentral. Lineage: Eukaryota; Viridiplantae; Streptophyta; Magnoliopsida; Malpighiales; Euphorbiaceae.